This 463-nucleotide ribosomal RNA is filed under the name uncultured bacterium. Its description in RNAcentral is "SSU rRNA". It matches the Rfam family "Bacterial small subunit ribosomal RNA", at positions 26 to 518 of the family's 1533-position model. The record is from RNAcentral.
AGGAUUAACGCUGGCGGCGUGCCUAACACAUGCAAGUCGAACGAGGUAGCAAUACCUAGUGGCAGACGGGUGAGUAACGCGUGGUCAACCUACCGUUGAGUGGGGGAUAACUAGCCGAAAGGUUAGCUAAUACCGCAUACGAGUCUAGGGGGCAUCCCUGGGCCUUAAAAGGAGCAAUCCGCUCGAUGACGGGACCGCGUCCCAUUAGCUAGAUGGUGGGGUAACGGCCUACCAUGGCACCGAUGGGUAGCUGGUUUGAGAGAGCGACCAGCCACACUGGGACUGAGAAACGGCCCAGACUCCUACGGGAGGCAGCAGUGAGGAAUUUUCCGCAAUGGGCGAAAGCCUGACGGAGCGACGCCGCGUGUGGGAAGAAGGCCUUCGGGUCGUAAACCACUGUCGAAGGGGACGAUAAUGACGGUACCCUUGGAGGAGCCCCGGCUAACUACGUGCCAGCAGCCGC